Molecule: ribosomal RNA, 277 nt
Filed under: uncultured Eubacteriales bacterium
Lineage: Bacteria; Bacillati; Bacillota; Clostridia; Eubacteriales
Description: uncultured Clostridiales bacterium partial 16S ribosomal RNA
Rfam family: Bacterial small subunit ribosomal RNA
Source: RNAcentral
UUGAUUUCUUCGGAAUGAAGUUUUUGUGACUGAGUGGCGGACGGGUGAGUAACGCGUGGGUAACCUGCCUCAUACAGGGGGAUAACAGUUGGAAACGACUGCUAAUACCGCAUAAGCGCACAGCAUCGCAUGAUGCAGUGUGAAAAACUCCGGUGGUAUAAGAUGGACCCGCGUUGGAUUAGCUAGUUGGUGAGGUAACGGCCCACCAAGGCGACGAUUGGUAGCCGGACUGAGAGGUUGAACGGCCACAUUGGGACUGAGAUACGGCCCAAACUCC